Molecule: ribosomal RNA, 406 nt
Filed under: uncultured bacterium
Lineage: Bacteria
Description: partial 16S ribosomal RNA
Rfam family: Bacterial small subunit ribosomal RNA
Source: RNAcentral
AUUGAACGCUGGCGGCAGGCCUAACACAUGCAAGUCGAACGGGUGGCGGACGGGUUAGUAAUGUCUGUGCAACGUCGCGAUGGAGGGGUAUAGCUACUGGAAACGGUAGCCGAUACCGCACACCAUCGGCUAUACCCGAAUGGGAUUAGCUUGGGGUAGGGGUAACGGCUGACCUAGGCGACGAUCCCUAGCUGGUCUGAGAGGAGGACCAGCCACACUGGAACUGAGACACGGUCCAGACUCCUACGGGAGGCAGCAGUGGGGAAUAUUGCACAAUGGGCGCAAGCCUGAUGCAGCCAUGCCGCGUGUAUGAAGAAGGCCUUCGGGUUGUAAAGUACUUUCAGCGAGGAGGCGUUACUCGCAGAAGAAGCACCGGCUAACUCCGUGCCAGCAGCCGCGGUAAUAC